GACGAACGCUGGCGGCGUGCUUAACACAUGCAAGUCGAACGGAAAGGCCCUGCGUUUGUGGGGUGCUCGAUUGGCGAACGGGGGAGUAACACGUGAGUAACCUGCCCUUGACUUUGGGAUAACUUCAGGAAACUGGGGCUAAUACCGGAGAGGAUCUCCUGCUGCAUGGUGGGGGUUGGAAAGUUUCGGCGGUUGUGGAUGUACUCGCGGCUUAUCAGCUUGUUGGGGGGGUAGUGGCUUACCAAGGUUUUGAAGGGUAGCCGGCCUGGGAGGGUGGACGGCCACCAUGGGCCUGCGGUACGGAGCAGACUCCUACGGGCCGCAGCAGUGGGGAAUAUUGCACAAUGGGCGGAAGCCUGAUGCAGCAACGCCGCGUGCGGGAUGACGGCCUUCGGGUUGUAAACCGCUUUCGCCUGUGACGAAGCGUGAGUGACGGUAAUGGGUAAAGAAGCACCGGCUAACUACGUG
Molecule: ribosomal RNA, 468 nt
Filed under: uncultured bacterium
Lineage: Bacteria
Description: partial 16S ribosomal RNA
Rfam family: Bacterial small subunit ribosomal RNA
Source: RNAcentral